UCCACUUUGACGACUCCUGAUUAAUAAAGGGACUAAGCUGAAAAUGAAGGAAUGAAUACUAAGUGUUCCGUAGGCUGCAUAGAAAUGAUAAACCUUGAGCCUCAAACAACAAGGUUCCUUCUCUUUAUUUAAAUCUUGUUUAAACAACAGACCACAGAAAAAAUAUAUGAAAAAACUCACUGUUGCACAACACCCCUAGUAUCUGGAUCAUAAUAAGCAGCGUUUGAGUGGCUACAACGUUUCCUAGUAAAAUGACAACAAUGCUGAACAUGUUUCUUCAUGGUGGGACUCUUAUUUUGAAAACCGGACACAGCUCGUCGAAGAAUGCUUGGAAAAGGUGGAUGUCUGUUUGUUCAGCGGCAUCCUGAGGAUGCAUAAGAGUACAUACUGCUGUGUGAGUGACUGAUGUGAGCCACAUGAGCCUCAGAGCAGAAUAUUCAUGACCCUUCUAAAUAAGAAUCAGCUCCACCAAUUUGAGGAUUGCAAGAACUGAAGUAUGCAAGCUAUAUGUAGAAAUCACAUCAUUUUACUGUACCUCUACCCAGACCAUCAGUACACCCAGGAAUCUGCUGAUACUGGGUGGAAUCCAUGCAACCUUCAACUCUGACAAGGUUUCCGGUACCUGUGCCUGCCACACAUCCCCACAGCAUGAUAGACCCUCCUUCAUAUUUGAUUUUUGAAAAGUGUACCAUGGACAGUGACAUUAUCAGCAGCAAGAUGUUCUUGGAGCUCUUUGGAGGUGGUCUGUGGUUUGUCUGUGAUUAUUCUAACCGUUCUUCACUUUUGCUUUUAGAUAAUUGUCUUGGUCUAGCACAUCUUUCCUUCACAAGAUCUGUUCCGGUGGCCUUCCAUUUUCCUACUGUAUUUCUGACUGUGGAGAUAGAGACUUGAAACCUUUCUGAUAGCUUUUUGCAUCCUUCUAAUUCAUGUUGGUGAUUUUCCUAGUUUUUAGGUGAUUAGGAAGUUCUUUUGAGGUUCCCAUGUUGCUACUUUCAGGUUCACAAUAAAGAGAAGCACAACAAGC
Non-coding RNA from Danio rerio (zebrafish), 1024 nucleotides. The record is from RefSeq and is a predicted model, not a curated record. NCBI's taxonomy places the organism in Eukaryota, Metazoa, Chordata, Actinopteri, Cypriniformes, Danionidae.